Molecule: ribosomal RNA, 777 nt
Filed under: Psychrobacter fjordensis
Lineage: Bacteria; Pseudomonadati; Pseudomonadota; Gammaproteobacteria; Moraxellales; Moraxellaceae
Description: bacterial SSU rRNA
Rfam family: Bacterial small subunit ribosomal RNA
Source: RNAcentral
AAACUCGUAUUAAUACCGCAUACGACCUACGGGAGAAAGGGGGCAGUUUACUGCUCUCGCUAUUAGAUGAGCCUAAGUCGGAUUAGCUAGAUGGUGGGGUAAAGGCCUACCAUGGCGACGAUCUGUAGCUGGUCUGAGAGGAUGAUCAGCCACACCGGGACUGAGACACGGCCCGGACUCCUACGGGAGGCAGCAGUGGGGAAUAUUGGACAAUGGGGGAAACCCUGAUCCAGCCAUGCCGCGUGUGUGAAGAAGGCCUUUUGGUUGUAAAGCACUUUAAGCAGUGAAGAAGACUCCGUGGUUAAUACCCACGGACGAUGACAUUAGCUGCAGAAUAAGCACCGGCUAACUCUGUGCCAGCAGCCGCGGUAAUACAGAGGGUGCAAGCGUUAAUCGGAAUUACUGGGCGUAAAGGGAGCGUAGGUGGCUCUAUAAGUCAGAUGUGAAAUCCCCGGGCUCAACCUGGGAACUGCAUCUGAAACUGUAGAGCUAGAGUAUGUGAGAGGAAGGUAGAAUUCCAGGUGUAGCGGUGAAAUGCGUAGAGAUCUGGAGGAAUACCGAUGGCGAAGGCAGCCUUCUGGCAUAAUACUGACACUGAGGCUCGAAAGCGUGGGUAGCAAACAGGAUUAGAUACCCUGGUAGUCCACGCCGUAAACGAUGUCUACUAGUCGUUGGGUCCCUUGAGGACUUAGUGACGCAGCUAACGCAAUAAGUAGACCGCCUGGCGAGUACGGCCGCAAGGUUAAAACUCAAAUGAAUUGACGGGGGCCCGCACAA